UUGACCUCGGAUCAGGUAGGAAUACCCGCUGAACUUAAGCAUAUCAAUAAGCGGAGGAAAAGAAACCAACAGGGAUUGCCCUAGUAACGGCGAGUGAAGCGGCAACAGCUCAAAUUUGAAAUCUGGCCUCGGCCCGAGUUGUAAUUUGCAGAGGAUGUUUCUGGCGCGGUGCCUUCCGAGUUCCCUGGAACGGGACGCCACAGAGGGUGAGAGCCCCGUAUGGUUGGACACCAAGCCUGUGUGAAACUCCUUCGACGAGUCGAGUAGUUUGGGAAUGCUGCUCAAAAUGGGAGGUAAAUCUCUUCUAAAGCUAAAUACCGGCCAGAGACCGAUAGCGCACAAGUAGAGUGAUCGAAAGAUGAAAAGCACCUUGAAAAGGGGGUUAAACAGUACGUGAAAUUGUUGAAAGGGAAGCGCUUGUGACCAGACUUGCGCCGGGCGGUUCAUCCGGGGUUCUCCCCGGUGCACUCCGCCCGGGUCAGGCCAGCAUCGGUUCUCGUUGGGGGAUAAGAACGGCAGGAACGUGGCCCUCCCUCUGGGAGGGUGUUAUAGCCUGUCGUACGAUACCCUGAUGGGGACCGAGGUUCGCGCUCCGCAAGGAUGCUGGCGUAAUGGUCAUCAGCGACCCGUCUUGAAACACGGACCAAGGAGUCGUCCAUUAGAGCGAGCGUUUGGGUGUCAAACCCGCACGCGUAAUGAAAGUGAAAUUAGGUGAGAGCUUCGGCGCAUCAUCGACCGAUCCUGAUGUUCUCGGAUGGAUUUGAGUAAGAGUUUUAACGGACGGACCCGAAAGACAGUGAACUAUGCUUGUAUAGGGUGAAGCCAGAGGAAACUCUGGUGGAGGCUCGCAGCGGUUCUGACGUGCAAAUCGAUCGUCAAAUAUGAGCAUGGGGGCGAAAGACUAAUCGAA
Molecule: ribosomal RNA, 910 nt
Filed under: Dwiroopa punicae
Lineage: Eukaryota; Fungi; Ascomycota; Sordariomycetes; Diaporthales; Dwiroopaceae
Description: partial 28S ribosomal RNA
Rfam family: Eukaryotic large subunit ribosomal RNA
Source: RNAcentral